AGGAAGGAGGGGACGACGUCUGGUCAGCAUGGCCCUUACGGCCUGGGCGACACACGUGCUACAAUGCCCACUACAAAGCGAUGCCACCCGGCAACGGGGAGCUAAUCGCAAAAAGGUGGGCCCAGUUCGGAUUGGGGUCUGCAACCCGACCCCCAUGAAGCCGGAAUCGCUAGUAAUCGCGGAUCAGCCAUGCCGCGGUGAAUACGUUCCCGGGCCUU
RNAcentral lists this ribosomal RNA (218 nucleotides) under uncultured Thermus sp. Its description in RNAcentral is "partial 16S ribosomal RNA". It matches the Rfam family "Bacterial small subunit ribosomal RNA", at positions 1167 to 1382 of the family's 1533-position model. Lineage: Bacteria; Thermotogati; Deinococcota; Deinococci; Thermales; Thermaceae. The record is from RNAcentral.